CCUCAGGUUUUUGGAGGAAGGUUCGUCCGCUCCAAGUUAGGCGGGAGCUAAGGUCAGGCCGCAAGGCGUAGCCGAUGCACAGACGGUAGAGAUUCCGUCCCCACCGAAAGAUUUAAGCACAGGGACACUUUUAGAAGGUCGGAGCCAGGUGUUGGUUCUGGUAGUGAUCGAGGGAAAUUUAGUACCGAAGUCCGGCUGGAUGAGAGGCGAGAAAAGCUGUGUGUAUAUCUAAGGUGCCCGUACCGCAAACCGACACAGGUAGGUAGGAAGAAGAUUCUAAGGCCAACGGGAGAAGGGUUGUUAAGGAACUCGGCAAGUUGACCCCGUAACUUCGGAAUAAGGGGUGCUCACGAGAGUGAGCCGCAGAGAAUAGGCCCAGGCAACUGUUUACCAAAAACACAGGUUUGUGCUAAAUCGAAAGAUGACGUAUACGAGCUGACGCCUGCCCGGUGCUGGAAGGUUAAAAGGAGAUGUGCAAGCAUUGAAUUGAAGCCCCAGUGAACGGCGGCCGUAACUAUAACGGUCCUAAGGUAGCGAAAUUCCUUGUCAGGUAAGUUCUGACCCGCAUGAAAGGCGUAAUGAUCUGGGCACUGUCUCAACAGCCCGCCCGGCGAAAUUGUAGUACCGGUGAAGAUGCCGGUUACCCGCGACAAGACGGAAAGACCCCAUGGAGCUUUACUGUAGCCUGAUAUUGGGUUUCGGUGUUGCAUGCACAGGAUAGAUGGGACACUGGGAAGCGAGCGCUUUGGCGUUCGUGGAGUGGACGUUGGGAUACCAUCCUUGCGACAUUGGAAUUCUAACCUGCGCCUCUGAAUCGAGGCGGGGGACAUUGUCAGGUGGGCAGUUUGACUGGGGCGGUCGCCUCCUAAAAAGUAGCGGAGGCGUUCAAAGGUUCGUUCGAUCUGGACGGAAACCAGAUGAAUGAGUGCAAACGCAUAAACGAGCCUGACUGCGAGACUGACGGGUCGAGCAGAGACGAAAGUCGGAGUUAGUGAUCCGGUGGUAUGUGAGUGGAAAUGCCAUCGCUCAACGGAUAAAAGCUACCCUGGGGAUAACAGGCUGAUCUCCCCCAAGAGUCCACAUCGACGGGGAGGUUUGGCACCUCGAUGUCGGCUCAUCGCAUCCUGGGGCUGAAUUCGGUCCCAAGGGUUUGGCUGUUCGCCAAUUAAAGCGGUACGCGAGCUGGGUUCAGAACGUCGUGAGACAGUUCGGUCCCUAUCUGUCGUGGGCGCAGGAUAUUUGAAAGGCGCUGUCCCUAGUACGAGAGGACCGGGAUGGACGAACCUCUGGUGCACCAGUUGUCACGCCAGUGGCACAGCUGGGCAGCUAUGUUCGGAUCGGAUAAACGCUGAAAGCAUCUAAGCGUGAAGCCGGCCUUAAGAUAAGAUAUCCCACUGAGUCAAUCAGGUAAGACCCCUUGAAGACUACAAGGUUGAUAGGCACACAGUGUAAGCGGAGUGAUCCGUUCAGCUAGCGUGUACUAAUAGGUCGAGGGCUUGACCC
This 1503-nucleotide ribosomal RNA is filed under the name human gut metagenome. RNAcentral's name for it is "bacterial LSU rRNA". It matches the Rfam family "Bacterial large subunit ribosomal RNA", at positions 1344 to 2925 of the family's 2925-position model. The record is from RNAcentral.